GACGAACGCUGGCGGCGUACCUAAUACAUGCAAGUCGAGCGAAGUUUUUCUGGUGCUUGCACUAGAAACACUUAGCGGCGAACGGGUGAGUAACACGUAAAGAACCUGCCUCAUAGACUGGGACAACUAUUGGAAACGAUAGCUAAUACCGGAUAACAGUAUUUCUCGCAUGAGAGAUAUUUAAAAGUUGGUUAUGCUAACACUAUGAGAUGGCUUUGCGGUGCAUUAGCUAGUUGGUGGGGUAAAGGCCCACCAAGGCGACGAUGCAUAGCCGACCUGAGAGGGUGAUCGGCCACACUGGGACUGAGACACGGCCCAGACUCCUACGGGAGGCAGCAGUAGGGAAUCUUCCGCAAUGGGCGAAAGCCUGACGGAGCAACGCCGCGUGAGUGAAGAAGGAUUUCGGUUCGUAAAGCUCUGUUGUUAGGGAAGAAUGGAUAUGUAGUAACUAUACAUGUAAGAGACGGUACCUAACCAGAAAGCCACGGCUAACUACGUG
RNAcentral lists this ribosomal RNA (499 nucleotides) under uncultured bacterium. Its description in RNAcentral is "partial 16S ribosomal RNA". It matches the Rfam family "Bacterial small subunit ribosomal RNA", at positions 28 to 507 of the family's 1533-position model. The record is from RNAcentral.